CCUACGGGAGGCAGCAGUGAGGAAUAUUGGUCAAUGGUCGAGAGGCUGAACCAGCCAAGCCGCGUGAGGGAAGAAGGUCCAGAGUAUCGUAAACCUCUUUUGUCAGGGAACAAAGACUGGCACGCGUCCCCGUUUGAGUGUACCUGAAGAAAAAGCAUCGGCUAACUCCGUGCCAGCAGCCGCGGUAAUACGGAGGAUGCGAGCGUUAUCCGGAUUUAUUGGGUUUAAAGGGUGCGCAGGCGGUAUAUAAAGUCAGCGGUAAAAUCCUGGGGCUCAACCCCAGCCCGCCGUUGAAACUGAUGAUCUUGAGUGGGCGAGAAGUAUGCGGAAUGCGUGGUGUAGCGGUGAAAUGCAUAGAUA
RNAcentral lists this ribosomal RNA (360 nucleotides) under uncultured bacterium. Its description in RNAcentral is "partial 16S ribosomal RNA". It matches the Rfam family "Bacterial small subunit ribosomal RNA", at positions 338 to 696 of the family's 1533-position model. The record is from RNAcentral.